Molecule: ribosomal RNA, 1356 nt
Filed under: uncultured bacterium
Lineage: Bacteria
Description: bacterial SSU rRNA
Rfam family: Bacterial small subunit ribosomal RNA
Source: RNAcentral
AUGAACGCUGGCGGCGUGUUUAAGGCAUGCAAGUCGUGGGAUCGGCUUUUUUAUUCUUCGGAAUUUUGAAGUACGGACCGGCAAACGGGUGAGUAACACAUUGGUAACCUACCUUCGAGUUGGGCAUAGACCCGGGAAACCGGGAUUAAUACCCAAUAGUCAUGAGGGGUCGUAAGACAUUCUCAUGUAAAGAUUUAUCGCUCGAAGAGGGGCCUAUGGCUGAUUAGCUUGUUGGUAGGGUAAAGGCCUACCAAGGCUAUGAUCAGUAGCAGGCGUGAGAGCGUGACCUGCCUCACUGGGACUGAGACACUGCCCAGACUCCUACGGGAGGCUGCAGUCGAGAAUAUUCCACAAUGGACGAAAGUCUGAUGGAGCGACGCCGCGUGCAGGAAGACGCCCUUCGGGGUGUAAACUGCUUUUCUGAAGGACGAAUUCGUGACGGUACUUCAGGAAUAAGAGGUUGCUAACUCUGUGCCAGCAGCAGCGGUAAUACAGAGACCUCGAGCGUUAUCCGGAUUCAUUGGGCGUAAAGCGUCCGCAGGUGGUGUGAUAAGUCACUGGUUAAAUUUUCAGGCUUAACUUGGAAACUGCUAUUGAUACUGUCACACUUGAGACUGGGAGAGGUAAGCGGAACACACGGUGUAGUCGUAAUAAGCGCUGAUAUCGUGUGGAACACCAAAGGCGAAGGCAGCUUACUGGAACAGUUUCUGACACUAAUGGACGAAAGCGUGGGUAGCGAAGGGGAUUAGAUACCCCCGUAGUCCACGCCGUAAACGAUGUCUACUAGGUAUUGGGAGUAUCGACCCUCUCAGUGCCGUCGAAAAAAGCUAACGCGUUAAGUAGACCGCCUGGGGAGUACGAUCGCAAGGUUAAAACUCAAAGGAAUAGACGGGGACCCGCACAAGCGGUGGAUCAUGUGGUUUAAUUCGAUGAUACGCGGCGAACCUUACCAAGGCUUGAUAUAUAACUGCAAGCUUCCCGAAAGGGAAGCCUCUUUCGAAGGUGUUAUACAGGUGCUGCAUGGUUGCCGUCAGCUCGUGCCGUGAGGUGUACCGUUAAGUCGGGAAACGAGCGCAACCCUCGCCGUAUGUUAAAUGUACAUGCGGGACUGCCGGCGCAAGCCGGAGGAAGGUGAGGACGACGUCAAAUCAGCAUGGCUCUUACGCCUUGGGCUACACACAUGAUACAAUGGCCGGUACAAUGGGUUGCCAACCCGCGAGGGGGAGCUAAUCCCAUCAAAGCCGGUCUCAGUUCAGAUUGCAGGCUGCAAUUCGCCUGCAUGAAGUUGGAAUCGCUAGUAAACGCGCAUCAGCCACGGCGCGUUGAAUACGUUCUCGGGUCUUGUACUCACCGCCC